CCCUUUGUGACAUACCUAACUGUUGCUUCGGCGGGUUAGGGGGUCCCCCCGGGGACGCCCUCCCGGCCGCGCCCUCCUCCUCCGGGAGGGGUCGCGGCGCCCGCCGGAGGAUAACCAAACUCUGAUUUAACGACGUUUCUUCUGAGUGGCACAAGCAAAUAAUUAAAACUUUUAACAACGGAUCUCUUGGUUCUGGCAUCGAUGAAGAACGCAGCGAAAUGCGAUAAGUAAUGUGAAUUGCAGAAUUCAGUGAAUCAUCGAAUCUUUGAACGCACAUUGCGCCCGCCAGCAUUCUGGCGGGCAUGCCUGUUCGAGCGUCAUUUCAACCCUCAAGCUUCGCUUGGUGUUGGGGCACUACGGUUGACGUAGGCCCUCAAAAGUAGUGGCGGACCCUCCCGGAGCCUCCUUUGCGUAGUAACUAACGUCUCGCAUCGGGAUCCGGAGGGACUCUUGCCGUAAAACCCCCUAACUUUUAACUGGUUGACCUCGGAUCAGGUAGGAAUACCCGCUGAACUUAAGCAUAU
RNAcentral lists this ribosomal RNA (524 nucleotides) under Colletotrichum sublineola. RNAcentral describes it as "eukaryotic LSU rRNA". The stretch from base 167 to 320 matches the Rfam family "5.8S ribosomal RNA". Lineage: Eukaryota; Fungi; Ascomycota; Sordariomycetes; Glomerellales; Glomerellaceae. The record is from RNAcentral.